Molecule: ribosomal RNA, 667 nt
Filed under: uncultured organism
Description: bacterial SSU rRNA
Rfam family: Bacterial small subunit ribosomal RNA
Source: RNAcentral
GCCAGCAGCCGCGGUAACACGUAUGGGGCGAGCGUUGUUCGGAAUUAUUGGGCGUAAAGGGCGCGCAGGCGGUCUCAUAAGCCUGGUGUGUAAGCCAGCAGCUCAACUGUUGUUGUGCGCUGGGAACUGUGAGACUUGAGUUCAGGAGGGGAAGCUGGAAUUCCAGGUGUAGGGGUGAAAUCUGUAGAUAUCUGGAAGAACAUCAGUGGCGAAGGCGAGCUUCUGGCCUUGAACUGACGCUGAGGCGCGAAAGCGUGGGGAGCGAACAGGAUUAGAUACCCUGGUAGUCCACGCCGUAAACGAUGUGCACUAGGUGUUGGACCAUUGACGGUUCAGUGCCGUAGCUAACGCGUUAAGUGCACCGCCUGGGGAGUAUGCCCGCAAGGGUGAAACUCAAAGGAAUUGACGGGGGCCCGCACAAGCGGUGGAGCAUGUGGUUUAAUUCGAUGAUACGCGAGAAACCUUACCAGGGCUUGACAUCAGCCGGACGGCAGUAGAGAUACUGCUUCCCUUCGGGGCCGGUUGACAGGUGCUGCAUGGCUGUUGUCAGCUCGUGCCGUGAGGUGUUGGGUUAAGUCCCGCAACGAGCACAACCCCUGCUAUCUGUUGCCAGCAUUUUGGAUGGGGACUCAGAUGGAACUCCCGGUGACAAACCGGAGGAAGGGGG